This 1684-nucleotide long non-coding RNA is filed under the name Mytilus galloprovincialis (Mediterranean mussel). Lineage: Eukaryota; Metazoa; Mollusca; Bivalvia; Mytilida; Mytilidae. The record is from RNAcentral.
CAAAUUGAAAUGCAAGUUUAAAUACUGAUCAAAAUUUAUUCAGAAAUAUUUUCUGUAAAAUCUAUAAUUCUUACAUUGCAGUGUAUAAAUUAUGAACAAGUCUCAUCUUCAGGUUCAUAAAUAAUAUAAUAUGUUGACCUCCAUCCAUUGUAUUUCAUUGUAUAUGAAUCAUAUCAAAAUUUAAACAAUUAUAUUGUUCUUGUUGUAGAUUUUUGUUUCACUUUACAAUAUUUGUGAAAGAAUUUUAUUUUUGUGUUAUAGAACAGUUCAGUGAUUGCAAAUUGUCUUAUUCCAUGUUAGUGAAGUCUCUAAACUGAACCAGAAUUAAGCAAUGAAUAUUCAUAAGUUGUUUAACACUGUUUUAAUAAACAAAUCACCUGUGUAAUAUGGACACAAUCCUCACUUUCAAAGGGGUUUUGUUUAAAAAGAUUUCAUUGUAUUAGUCUUACUAAAAAUCAGGCAGAUAAAACAUUCAAAUUUACAUCAAUUACCAAGCACAGCAACGAAAGUAUUAUUUUGGAAAAAUACAAUAAGGGAGAUAACUCUAUCAGAGAAUUAAUUCUACAAUAAAAUAAUUUGAGUUGUAGCUUCUUUUACAACAAAAGUAAAAAUACUCCUUAACUAUGAGUAUUUCAGUAUUAAUUACAAUCCAUUUAAGUCAAGUGAUUUUUGUAGAAAAGGUCACUGUUCAAGAUCAAAAUCUUGUGGAAAAUACAAUUGGUUUUCAUUUCUAUUUAUUGAUUUUAAAAACUGCCUGAUUCUUUUGAGACUUGCACUUAAGGACACAGUUGUACUUAAUUUCCAUACACAUUGUGUUGUAACAACACUUCUCAAUACUUACAUGUUACUGUGUGUGACACUCAGUCUAAAGAAUUUCAAAUUGAAAUAUUUGUGUAUAAUUUACAUUAAAGCAAGUGUAUUUCAUAUUCAGUGAAUAAAAUAUUUUUGUGAAUUUGUACUUAUUAUAGUAUUGCAUUUUAAUGUAAAUUUAUGUGAAACAAAUCAGACACAUUUUACAAUAGCGUAAUUUUUGAAAAGCAUCCCUUUGUUGCACUGCUUUUCUGUAUUUCCCUUUUUUUUAAGAAUCCAAAUUAAAGACUAACUGUUGAUUCAUUAAUACAUAUUCAUUGGAGACUUUUUCAUGGAUAUUGUUGGUAGAGGAAAUUAAAUUUAAAGAUCAAAUAAAACGCUAAUUUCUAAUUAUUUUAGAAAAAAUGAGGAACCUUAAUUAAAUAACACUUUUUCUCCAACUAGUAAAAUGCAAACGAAAUUAGUUUUUAAAAUCUCCUUAUGGCAGAAACUGAAAAAUAAAUAGACCUGCUCAAGGAUUGUAUUACAGAAUUAAGUUCAAGAAUAUGUAGUAUAAACCAUUUAAAAAGAUUAUGGUUACCUUUGAAACUUUAAUUUUUUAGAAGAAAAUAGUUUAAAGAGCAAAUACAGAAAUACAGUGCAACAAGAGAAACUGUUUUGUUAAUUUUUCGGGAUAAAAUCUCUUUAAAAUUAUUCAGAUGUUGUAAUGAAAAAAGUUUAAAACUACAAUGUAACUAUUUUUUGUAUCUGUUUGUUUCAAUUUGGUAUCAUUGUAUUUCAUUUUGUUAUAAUUCGAUCAAUUCGAUAUCAUUUAUUAUUGAAUUCACUCUCAUUUAGUUUCAGUGCUAUAUCAUAUUUUGAGUUUGAUUCCCCC